CUCAGACCCGUAACAGUGUUUAGAGACUCCAUGUUAAAAUUUUUGCCUGAUUAAAGGAAACACUGGGGGUGCGAGUUGGUGCCAAAAGACCCCUGAUAAACAAGUGCACCAUCAAUGUCUCCGAUCCCAGCUGCCUGGAAAGGGUCAUUUCAUUAGAUGACUUCACAUCAUUUCCCAGUUUGCUCUGAUUCGGCACAGUAACUGAUCAUAAUU
This is a long non-coding RNA of Megalops cyprinoides (Indo-Pacific tarpon), 213 nucleotides long. RefSeq lists it as uncharacterized. The transcript is spliced from 3 exons. The record is from RefSeq and is a predicted model, not a curated record. Lineage: Eukaryota; Metazoa; Chordata; Actinopteri; Elopiformes; Megalopidae.